Molecule: long non-coding RNA, 627 nt
Filed under: Nicotiana benthamiana
Lineage: Eukaryota; Viridiplantae; Streptophyta; Magnoliopsida; Solanales; Solanaceae
Description: long non-coding RNA (NBEN_LNC029381)
Source: RNAcentral
GGAUUGUACUCAGCCUGAAUAUUAGCUUAUAUCUGUGAGCAGUCUCACGGAAUAUAUUGGCUAGCUUCAUCUGGCUUAAUGUUGAAGUGUUAAUGAGUAGCACUUGCAGUACUUUGUUUGAAGGUGAUCAAGGCAAGUCAUUGCAAUCGCUGUUGUUGGGUUAUAAGACUUGUCAAUCUGAGAUAUAAAGUUGACUUAUUGGAUCUGGUGCAUUUCAGGAAUUUAUUUCGUUGAUGUUAUUCUUAGGGAAGUUCUUCCCAUGAGGUAGCUGGAGCUAUAAAAUAUCUUGUGGUUCACAAGCAAAAUGCUAUAUAAUUGGAAGAAGCCUCACAUUAUUUUCUCUACAGUGCUCGUGGUUGUUUAUGUUGCAAUAUAACUAGCAAUUAUGGAACAACUAUCAGAGAAAAAGUUCCCUGUCAAUGCGAAAGACUAUAAGUUGUAUGAAGAAGUUGGAGACGGGGUUAGUGCAACUGUGUAUCGGGCUCUGUGCAUUGAGAUUGUUUAUGUUGCAAUAUAACUAGCAAUUAUGGAACAACUAUCAGAGAAAAAGUUCCCUGUCAAUGCGAAAGAUUAUAAGUUAUAUGAAGAAGUUGGAGACGGUGUUAGUGCAACUGUGUAUCGGGCUCU